RNAcentral lists this ribosomal RNA (433 nucleotides) under uncultured bacterium. Its description in RNAcentral is "partial 16S ribosomal RNA". It matches the Rfam family "Bacterial small subunit ribosomal RNA", at positions 29 to 507 of the family's 1533-position model. The record is from RNAcentral.
AACGAACGCUGGCGGCAUGCCUAACACAUGCAAGUCGAACGAGACCUUCGGGUCUAGUGGCGCACGGGUGCGUAACGCGUGGGAACCUGCCCUUAGGUUCGGAAUAACUCCCCGAAAGGGGUGCUAAUACCGGAUAAUUUCUUCGGACCAAAGAUUUAUCGCCUUUGGAUGGGCCCGCGUUGGAUUAGCUAGUUGGUAGGGUAAAAGCCUACCAAGGCGACGAUCCAUAGCUGGUCUGAGAGGAUGAGCAGCCACACUGGGACUGAGACACGGCCCAGACUCCUACGGGAGGCAGCAGUGGGGAAUAUUGGACAAUGGGCGAAAGGCUGAUCCAGCAAGGCCGCGUGAGUGAUGAAGGCCUUAGGGUUGUAAAGCUCUUUUACCCGGGAGGAUAAUGACAGUACCGGGAGAAUAAGCACCGGCUAACUCCGUG